CCUAGAGUUCUGGGCCGCACGCGCGUUACACUGACGGGGCCAGCGAGUCCUUCCUUGACCGAAAGGUCCGGGUAAUCUUGUGAAACCCCGUCGUGCUGGGGAUAGAGCAUUGCAAUUAUUGCUCUUCAACGAGGAAUCCCUAGUAAGCGCAAGUCAUCAGCUUGCGUUGAUUACGUCCCUGCCCUUUGUACACACCGCCCGUCGCUACUACCGAUUGAAUGGCUCAGUGAGGCUUUCGGACUGGCCCGGAAUGGGGGGCGACCCCCGUCCUGGGCCGGAAAGUUAUCCGAACUCGGUCAUUUAGAGGAAGUAAAAGUCGUAACAAGGUCUCCGUUGGUGAACCAGCGGAGGGAUCAUUACCGAGUACUAUAACUCAUAACCCUUUGUGAACCUUUAUACCUGUUGCUUCGGCGGCGCGCCUCCCGGGGCGUGCCCGCCGGUAUCAUCAGAAUCUCUGUUCGAACCCGACGAUAUUUCUGAGUGUUCUAAGCGAACUGUUAAAACUUUCAACAACGGAUCUCUUGGCUCCAGCAUCGAUGAAGAACGCAGCGAAACGCGAUAUGUAAUGUGAAUUGCAGAAUUCAGUGAAUCAUCGAAUCUUUGAACGCACAUGGCGCCUUCCAGUAUCCUGGGAGGCAUGCCUGUCCGAGCGUCGUUUCAACCCUCGAGCCCCCGUGGCCCGGCGUUGGGGAUCUGCCCAGGCAGUCCCCGAAAACCAGUGGCGGACCCGUUACAGGCCCUUCCCUUGCGUAGUAACAUUCGCCUCCAUCGGGAGCCGG
This 779-nucleotide ribosomal RNA is filed under the name Microascaceae sp. LM278. RNAcentral describes it as "bacterial SSU rRNA". The stretch from base 1 to 359 matches the Rfam family "Eukaryotic small subunit ribosomal RNA", at positions 1472 to 1831 of the family's 1831-position model. Lineage: Eukaryota; Fungi; Ascomycota; Sordariomycetes; Microascales; Microascaceae. The record is from RNAcentral.